CCUACGGGAGGCAGCAGUCGGGAAUUUUGGGCAAUGGGCGAAAGCCUGACCCAGCAACGCCGCGUGAAGGAUGAAAUCCCUCGGGAUGUAAACUUCGCAAGAACGGGAAGAAUAAGUCGGUGUAAAUACCACCGACGAUGACGGUACCGUUUGUAAGCUCCGGCUAACUCCGUGCCAGCAGCCGCGGUAAU
RNAcentral lists this ribosomal RNA (191 nucleotides) under uncultured bacterium. RNAcentral describes it as "partial 16S ribosomal RNA". It matches the Rfam family "Bacterial small subunit ribosomal RNA", at positions 338 to 524 of the family's 1533-position model. The record is from RNAcentral.